AACUUACCAUCUGGAUUAGUACUAGCUUGAACAUUUCGUAAAUGUUGAUCGAGCAACGCAGCAGGCACUUGAUCUUUGAUAGCUGCAAAUUCUUCCAUUGCUGCUUUAGCAGCGCUAGCAGCUACUCUCGGAUCAACAACUGAAGCUAGGAAUGCAACGGUGCUCAUUACUGGAUUACCAGCCUUUGAAAAUGGAACUGGCUGGUAAGCGAGUGGUCCUAAGCCUUCGGGACCACCUUCUUCGAGGUAUGGGUCCUCAAUGGGAAGCCGUAGGAAGUGAACUCCAGCAGCCUGCUUGCUUUUCAAAACAGCAGGUUUUCUCGAAUACUGAUCAACCUUAAGACCGAAGUUUGCCAUCACACCUAUACCGCUCUUUUCUUCUGGUCCCACGGCUGCAACUAUGGGUUUCUUCUCCAAAUCUAAUAAGGACUUUGCAGCACUUGUUGGUUGAGGAGUCUUAGGUGGAUUUGGAUUAACAGGAGCCAAACCAGAUGGAGUAUCUGAUAGAACAUGAAAAUGGGAAGUAGGCGGCGGACCCAUUGGAGUUGGACGGGAUUCUGCGUCAACCUGGUAAUUAAUAAGACCCCAUUGCUCCAAAAACGCGUGGACCCGCAUGAUGGCACAUACAUCUCCUGCCAAAUUAC
Molecule: unclassified non-coding RNA, 643 nt
Filed under: Athalia rosae (coleseed sawfly)
Lineage: Eukaryota; Metazoa; Arthropoda; Insecta; Hymenoptera; Athaliidae
Description: misc RNA ENSAEAG00005002421.1
Source: RNAcentral